This 460-nucleotide ribosomal RNA is filed under the name uncultured bacterium. RNAcentral's name for it is "bacterial SSU rRNA". It matches the Rfam family "Bacterial small subunit ribosomal RNA", at positions 8 to 464 of the family's 1533-position model. The record is from RNAcentral.
AGAGUUUGAUCCUGGCUCAGAUUGAACGCUGGCGGCAGGCCUAACACAUGCAAGUCGAACGGUAACAGGAAGCAGCUUGCUGCUUCGCUGACGAGUGGCGGACGGGUGAGUAAUGUCUGGGAAACUGCCUGAUGGAGGGGGAUAACUACUGGAAACGGUAGCUAAUACCGCAUAACGUCGCAAGACCAAAGAGGGGGACCUUCGGGCCUCUUGCCAUCGGAUGUGCCCAGAUGGGAUUAGCUAGUAGGUGGGGUAACGGCUCACCUAGGCGACGAUCCCUAGCUGGUCUGAGAGGAUGACCAGCCACACUGGAACUGAGACACGGUCCAGACUCCUACGGGAGGCAGCAGUGGGGAAUAUUGCACAAUGGGCGCAAGCCUGAUGCAGCCAUGCCGCGUGUAUGAAGAAGGCCUUCGGGUUGUAAAGUACUUUCAGCGGGGAGGAAGGGAGUAAAGUUAAU